UUGACCUCAAAUCAGGUAGGACUACCCGCUGAACUUAAGCAUAUCAAUAAGCGGAGGAAAAGAAACUAACAAGGAUUCCCCUAGUAACUGCGAGUGAAGCGGGAAAAGCUCAAAUUUAAAAUCUGGCGGUCUUGCGGCCGUCCGAGUUGUAAUCUGGAGAAGCGUUUAUCCGCGUCGGACCGUGUACAAGUCUUCUGGAAGGGAGCGUCGUAGAGGGUGAGAAUCCCGUCUUUGACACGGACAACCGGUGCUUUUGUGAUGCGCUCUCGAAGAGUCGAGUUGUUUGGGAAUGCAGCUCAAAAUGGGUGGUAAAUUC
Molecule: ribosomal RNA, 316 nt
Filed under: uncultured Piloderma
Lineage: Eukaryota; Fungi; Basidiomycota; Agaricomycetes; Atheliales; Atheliaceae
Description: eukaryotic LSU rRNA
Rfam family: Eukaryotic large subunit ribosomal RNA
Source: RNAcentral